Molecule: ribosomal RNA, 292 nt
Filed under: uncultured bacterium
Lineage: Bacteria
Also listed under: 2 other names
Description: partial 16S ribosomal RNA
Source: RNAcentral
GGACUACCGGGGUAUCUAAUCCCGUUUGCUCCCCUAGCUUUCGCGCCUCAGCGUCAGAAGAGGUCCAGUACGUCGCUUUCGCCACCGGCGUUCCUUCUGAUAUCAACGCAUUUCACCGCUCCACCAGAAGUUCCACAUACCCCUACCUCCCUCGAGCUCGCCAGUAUCAAAGGCACUUCUGCAGUUAAGCUGCAGGAUUUCACCACUGACUUGGCAAGCCGCCUACGCGCCCUUUAAGCCCAGUGAUUCCGAACAACGUUCGCACGGUUCGUCUUACCGCGGCUGCUGGCAC